This 253-nucleotide ribosomal RNA is filed under the name uncultured bacterium. Its description in RNAcentral is "partial 16S ribosomal RNA". It matches the Rfam family "Bacterial small subunit ribosomal RNA", at positions 524 to 776 of the family's 1533-position model. The record is from RNAcentral.
UACAGAGGUCCCAAGCGUUCUUCGGAAUCACUGGGCGUAAAGGGUGCGUAGGCGGCCGGGAAAGUCUGACGUGAAAUCCCACCGCUUAACUGUGGAACUGCCUUGGAAACUGCCCGGCUCGAGUCCCGGAGAGGGAAGCGGAAUUCCAGGUGUAGCGGUGAAAUGCGUAGAUAUCAGGAGGAACACCAGUGGCGAAGGCGGCUUGCUGGACGGGUACUGACUCUGAGGCACGAAGGCCAGGGGAGCAAACAGG